GCCUUCGGGGUGUAGUGGUCAGCACACUCAGAGCGUAUAAUCGAGAGGACCGUGGUUCGAAUCCCGGCGAGGGCA
This 75-nucleotide transfer RNA is filed under the name Stegodyphus mimosarum. It matches the Rfam family "tRNA". From Rfam's summary of the family: Transfer RNA (tRNA) molecules are approximately 80 nucleotides in length. Their secondary structure includes four short double-helical elements and three loops (D, anti-codon, and T loops). Further hydrogen bonds mediate the characteristic L-shaped molecular structure. tRNAs have two regions of fundamental functional importance: the anti-codon, which is responsible for specific mRNA codon recognition, and the 3' end, to which the tRNAs corresponding amino acid is attached (by aminoacyl-tRNA synthetases). tRNAs cope with the degeneracy of the genetic code in two manners: having more than one tRNA (with a specific anti-codon) for a particular amino acid; and 'wobble' base-pairing, i.e. permitting non-standard base-pairing at the 3rd anti-codon position. Lineage: Eukaryota; Metazoa; Arthropoda; Arachnida; Araneae; Eresidae. The record is from Rfam by way of RNAcentral.